This 437-nucleotide ribosomal RNA is filed under the name uncultured bacterium. RNAcentral's name for it is "partial 16S ribosomal RNA". It matches the Rfam family "Bacterial small subunit ribosomal RNA", at positions 341 to 792 of the family's 1533-position model. The record is from RNAcentral.
ACGGAAGGCAGCAGUGGGGAAUAUUGGGCAAUGGGCGCAAGCCUGACCCAGCAACGCCGCGUGAGGGAAGAAGGCUUUCGGGUUGUAAACCUCUGUCCUUGGUGACGAAGGAAGUGACGGUAGCCAAGGAGGAAGCCCCGGCUAACUACGUGCCAGCAGCCGCGGUAAUACGUAGGGGGCAAGCGUUGUCCGGAAUGAUUGGGCGUAAAGGGCGCGUAGGCGGCCUGUUAAGUCUGGAGUGAAAGUCCUGCUUUUAAGGUGGGAAUUGCUUUGGAUACUGAUGGGCUUGAGUGCAGGAGAGGUAAGUGGAAUUCCCAGUGUAGCGGUGAAAUGCGUAGAGAUUGGGAGGAACACCAGUGGCGAAGGCGACUUACUGGACUGUAACUGACGCUGAGGCGCGAAAGUGUGGGGAGCAAACAGGAUUAGAUACCCUGGUA